UGGGGAAGUAUUGCACAAUGGGCGGCAAGCCUGAUGCAGCCAUGCCGCGUGUAUGAAGAAGGCCUUCGGGUUGUAAAGUACUUUCAGCGGGGAGGAAGGCGUUGUGGUUAAUAACCACAGCGAUUGACGUUACCCGCAGAAGAAGUACCGGCUAACUCCGUGCCAGCAGCCGCGGUAAUACGGAGGGUGCAAGCGUUAAUCGGAAUUACUGGGCGUAAAGCGCACGCAGGCGGUCUGUCAAGUCGGAUGUGAAAUCCCCGGGCUCAACCUGGGAACUGCAUUCGAAACUGGCAGGCUAGAGUCUUGUAGA
Molecule: ribosomal RNA, 310 nt
Filed under: uncultured Enterobacteriaceae bacterium
Lineage: Bacteria; Pseudomonadati; Pseudomonadota; Gammaproteobacteria; Enterobacterales; Enterobacteriaceae
Description: bacterial SSU rRNA
Rfam family: Bacterial small subunit ribosomal RNA
Source: RNAcentral